UUGGAAGAAACGCUGCUUUGCGGCUGAUCAGUAUCUGGGACGAGAGAAAAGUCUUUGGUUCUCGAGGGCAGAUCCUGAAGGAAGAGUUUGCUGGAAAGCAUGUUGGGAAUGGAAAGCAUAGUGGAGGCAAAGUGAGAAACUCAGCUGGAGAUGCCCUUGACAAAAUAGUUUCAAGCUAUCAGAUAUUGUAUGGUGGUCAAAUUGAUGAAGAUGCGAUAUUGAGCAGAGCUAAAAAUGCUAUUAGCUGUGUUGCAAAAAUAGAUAAGAAGAUUGGGAGUGAUUUAAAUCCAGGCCAUCUUAAUGGAUCUGGUAUAGUGGAUGAGCUCAAGGGGCAGCACACAAUAUUGAAGGACUGUGUUGAGCAGCUAACAACUGUUGAGUCAUCCAGGGUAAACCUCAUCUCUCAUCUCAGAGAGGUCCUCCAGGAGCAGGAAUAUAAGUUGGAUCAAGUACGCAAUCAUCUUCAGGCUGCUCAGUCCCACGCAGAUCAGGUUGGGAGUAUUUGCGGACAGUUGCUGAAUUUUGAUGGCAAUGGGCAAAUCUUGGCUGAGCAGAAUAUAAAGGAAGCUAACACCUCCCAAGCUCCACAUUCGUUCAUAUCUGGAAAUCGCGAACAAUCUGCUCCAGUGAUGUACACUCGACAGGUAUCUUAUGAAAAAUCUGGCAACCUUGAGGAAGAUAUGAAGUCUGCGGCUGCUGCAGUGGCAGCAAAGCUGACUGCAUCAACAUCUUCAGCCCAGAUGCUGUCUUAUGUCCUCUCAUCCUUGGCAUCGGAGGGUGUCAUAGGCAACUCAACUAAAGAAUCUUUGCAUGAUAAUCAACCGGAGAAAAGGAUGAAGCUUGAAAAUGAUGGCUCUUGUUAUGCUCCCUCUCAGAAUCCUCAAGAAGCGGUUACAUUUUUCUCUCAGCCAAACUCAGUACAACACAAUCUUGCAAGCACUGGGCGGGAAUCAACUCCAACUGAACCACCUCCUCUACCAUCAUCGCCUCCACCAUUGGCACCGUUGCCUCCUAUGCAGCCAUAUCCAGCAGGUCAGAUCAUUCAGACAUCUGGGCAGUUGCCUAGUUCAACGUUUGUUUACGCAACAAGCCAGCAAGUGCAACCAGCUUCAACAUUGGGUGGUUUUGUCCCUCCAGUGAAUGGGAUUUCUCCUUUCACAUAUCCGGCGACAAUUGGUUAUCAAGGUUAUUCAAGUGAUAGUAGUUUAUAUAGCCACCAGUCUUCAUCCCUGCCGAUGGCACCAGUUAGCCGUCCGUAGGUUGUUAUUUUAGAGCUAUACAUAGCUUGUGUUGGUUAACUGGUCUGAUGUACAAGAAAGAUUAGGCUGUAACUAUGUAACUUUAUAUUGUGUUUUUGUUUCUAGAUUGGAGGUUGUUGUUGGUGUUAUUGCACUAGAAAGAAGUCGGUG
This 1409-nucleotide unclassified non-coding RNA is filed under the name Hevea brasiliensis (rubber tree). The record is from RNAcentral. Lineage: Eukaryota; Viridiplantae; Streptophyta; Magnoliopsida; Malpighiales; Euphorbiaceae.